UGAAGGCACUUACCCCAGCUGACGGCAUGUCACCAAUACAGCUAUGAGAUAGAUGACAGGUAUAAGGAUUGCUGAUAGCCUGAAAGGUAUUUUAGAAAGCUUAUUCAGGACACUGCUUUGAAGGGAGGAACAUCAUCUUCUCAUAUCUGAGAGCUGCAUUUGGACACAGCUGGGGGUGUUUCAAUCAAACUGCAGGCAGCUGGAAGUCUGGGCUGGUAGUGAGCAAGUCAGAAGUGUGUAUCCAGAGGAUGGCACUGCCUGUGUAGCAGCACUGAGUUGUGCUGCUUCCUUUGCAUGGCUGCUGGAGCUGCUGGAGCAUAUUGGACGCUGUGCAUGCUGGAGCAGGACUGCCUUCACGGGAGGUGCAGGUAAUGAACAAGUGCAAUUUUAACCACGCAGCAGGUGUUGUGUUUUCCUCUUAACAGUCACGCUGUCCAGUGAAACCAAAAAACUGCUUUGUGCAGGGAAGAGAACGGUACGGAAGCCUUGAAAAAGCUGAAACCCAAACUCGAGCAUAAUGCAAGGUCUUUGCAGAUCACAACAGGAAAAAUAAAGCUUUGUAAUGUGGUUUUAAGAGCCCUUGAGUGUAAUUCAACUCUUCUGUGCAAUCCCUUUUAACGUGACUCUGAAAUUGCUGAACCAGAAUAUAGCUGCUUUGCACUGGGUUUUUAGGCUGCUGUUUUGUUUCACUGUCCCUCUUUUUGCGAGGAUCAGAAAUUGCUUGUGUUCUAGGCUGGUGGCUCUGGUUUCCAGGCAGGUUUGGUAGGGUUGGGUUUGGGUUGCUGCUCUGUGCGCUAGGUAGUUUUCAAAACACAACAUGUUCUUGUGUUUAUUGCAAACAAAUCUCUCCUGCUAAUUACCUCGCAGAUAUUUUUAGUUUCCUUAUUGAUGCUUUUCUGAAUAAAUCAAGAAUAAACUUUCAGAAAAACACAGUGAGCAAAGACCUACAUGAGAGUCCCUUGGGCAAAAGAAUUUAUAUAAACCAGGCUAGAAAAAUACAUUGAACGACUUCACAGUUUGUGGAAGUAAUUAAGGCAAAGCACCUUCCCUAAGAAGUAAUGAGCUGGAUCACACAGCCCAAAAGCACAUAAAUCAUGCUGUGGGAUUUUGUGAGCUGCUGCAGAAGUUUGGGGUUCUUCUCCUUGAGUCAAGAGUGCUCUCCUGGGGAGGAAGCAUGACUUGAAUUCUGCAAGCACAACACUGCUCAGCAGACAUUUUGCUACAGCGUAGAGUUUGAGCCUCUCUGUAGAGACCAGUUUUGUGUUUCUGUCUGCGCUCCUGUUAUCUCUGCUAAGCUUCCAGCUGUUACUGUCUUGUUUUUUCAGUCCUACUCUGUCUGCCUGACCAGGAACCUGCCACUACCAUAAUAACCAGACCCUUUAGGGCUGUGGUGAUGGGCCUGGCAGAUGCACUUGGUUUAGAUGUACAAAUGAACCCCGUCCUGUGUUAGCAGGCAGAGGGAGAAAACGGCAGUGUUCUCCACCCCAUCUCAGCGCAGUGCUCUUAGUGAUGAAAACUCUCCGGUAGCCCACAGUAACUGACAGAAGCAGCCUUAUCUCCAGCUUCUCCAGAGCCUUAACGCUUUCCUUUCAAAUCGAAGCUUAUCUGCUAAUUGGUUUGACCCACGAUUCACCUGCUCAUUAAAGAAGUCUGCUGGUUCGCCCAGUCUGAGGACUGAAAGGUAAUGGUGACUCUCACCCGGCACUGUGACUGAGGUGGGUUUUUUUGUUCCUGGGAAACAUGCAGCAACAUUCAUUGUGAAACCCCCACGAUGCCAUUAAUGAAGAGAUUUUUAAUCCUCAUAAAUCAGAACGCCUUUAUUUGAUAUUUAAGGGCGAGUGAAGGAUAUUAAAGUAUCACUGAAGAUAGCAAUAAAAAGAUGAAAAACAGCCCUGCUUGAUAAUCCAUUUAAAGAUUUUCAGAAGGGAUUGAUAAUUAUCCCAGCAUAAUAGCUUAAUUUCAGCAGGCUUUGCAUCUCUUGACUUUGCAUUACUUUUGCAUCUAUGACUUUUGAGGUAUUAUUUUUAGAUUAAUUUUUUUCUUUUUACGAGGUUUCAAAUUCUCACACUUGAAGACAAGUCUCUACAGGUCUAAAUGGGGCUGUGGUUCCCAAGGGGAGGCUCAUUAGAAAAGACAUUGUGGGGCUGUCAUAACCAGAAUAUUCACUUCAUCUGCAUCCUGCAGGAGCCUCUGCAGUUUGUCAUGCACAGACCUUACAAACCUAUGGGAAAGAUGCAAAAUUCACCCUUUAAGGAUGGACUUGAAGGAAGACGGGAUUUAUGCUGGUUGUGAUGGUAGAACAACAAAGGCAGCACACUGUAAGAGCAGAGCUUGCAUGCAAUGAAAGGUCAGUGUCUUGCAACACUGGGUCGUGACAGCUGGAUAAAAAGAAGGCAGUGGGUGUGUAUUCAUGUGUAAAAGGGUGUGUAGGCUCAUAAAAUUGGAAUCAAAACGAAAAAUGUGCCUGGAAACAAGGAACCCAAGAUUUCAUUAAUUCUUGUUGUCCUGUGAAGUUUGUAGGUAAAGCAUAUGCCCAUUUCGUGUAGAGGUAAAUAUUGAUAUUCACCUCAUCCACCUCAGCACUGGAGAUCAGAACAGUUGGAGAUUUGCACGUGGUCAGAGAAGAAACAGUCCACAAUAUCUGUGUUUUGAAGGAAAUUAGUGAAGGUGGUGGGUCACUAGUUUUUUAUAACUUUUUGGAUUAAAGUUCUUCUCGUUUGGCUUUGGGUAAAGCUGCAAUUUCUCAAGGAGAGCAAAUAAGCCACAAACAAAUGUGAUUAUUGAGGAAUUCAGAAGUAACUGGGCAUGCAAGAAAUCGCUCCCAGCUUUUCCGUGCUCGUUCAUCGUCGUGCUUCGGGAAUAAGGAAGAGGAUUCGUUGCCCGGGUCCUCGCAGCACACAGCCAGCCCCGUGGCUCCCCGGUGCCGCCACCGGGCGGGGGGCACUGCCGCCAUCUCCCGGCAGCCCGGAGCCGGAGCGCAGCUCCCACCCACCCGUCCGUGUAGCUGCAGCAGCACAAGGAGCCGUGCUGCUGGUCUCGAACCCUGUGGUUGUGUUUUUUAGCUUGAGAAAAUCCUUUUUUUCCCCCUUUUUUUUCUUUUUUUUUUUUUUCAAUAGCACUACUUUGUAAAGCGAGGGGAGGCAGAUGGAGAGAAGCGGCAAAGAGCAAAGCGGCAGCAAAGGUCUGCUGUGAGGAGCAGGGCUGGAGCAAGGAUUGGGGGACAUUAUCUGAGAACAUCUCUGCCAGGACACUGCUAUAGGACAUGCUGUGUGUCAACCAGUCUUUCGUGCUCCAGGCAGAUGUUUUCAAAAUCAAUUGGAAAUUUUAUUUCCAAAAUAAGAGAGCACAGCGUAGAGGUAUCUACGACUUCAUAGCACAGACCUUCCGCUGGGCUGAGAGGAGCUGCAGUAAUGGACAUAGAAAUGGAGAUGGGAUUCGUGAUGAUUUAUUGGUUGAAGAAGAGGAAGUGAAAUAAAGGAAAGGUUGGCAAGAGCCCCAGGAAAUGCUCUGAUGUGAAGUAUAAAAUGAGUGCAGUUGGAAGCGUGUUUUCAUUGUCUUGCAAAAAAAAAAAAAAAAAAAAAUUAAAGUUCUCUCCAAUGUGUUCAGCCACUCCUCCCCACAAGUAAAUGAGAAGUUCUACCAGGAGGCAUUGUGUCCCACUUCAUUUCAGCACUGUUGUGAUUUUGGCAUUUUUUGCCCCUUACUGCCUCUGCUCACUCUCAGCGUGAAGAGUUCAAGCCCUGGUCUUUAUUUUGGGCCCUUAAAGUGAAAGGAAGUCUCUUAAGCUCAUAGGUUAGAAAAGAGCACUAAGAUCAUCUAGUCCAACCAUCAGACCAUGCCCACUCCCAGCAAGGUCUCCCUGAUGGGAUAGCUAUGUCCUUGCCCCAAGAAUGAAAGAAAAGGAAUCAGAGGAAUCAGCCCAGAAACAUCUCUCCUCCACCUAAGGAAGUACUGCUUGGGGAUAAGUUUCCAUUACGAAAUAGAAUCACAAAAACCUAAAGGUUGGAAAAGACCAUGAAGAUGACCUAGUCCAACCACCAACUCUCCCUCCCAUGCCACUAAUUAUGUCCCUCGGUGCCACAUCUCCCCAGUUCUUGAACACCUCCAGAGAUGGUGACUUCCUCACCUCCCUGGGCAGCCUGGGCCAAUGCAUUACUGCUCUUUUGGAGAAGAAAUGUUUCCUAAUACCCAACCUGAACCUCCCUGGUACAGCUUGAAGACAUCACAUCUCAUCCUAUUGCUGUCAUCCAGAAGAAGAGAUCAACUCCUACCUGUUCACAGCCUCCUCUCAGGGAGUUGCAGAGACACUGCUUCCCUCUCCUCACUGGUGGGAUAAGACAAGUGUGCAAAUAUGACACUUUGAGCUAAUAGGAAUCUUUUCAAAUCUCUGUAAGGAAAUAAAUUCCUCUCUUGUAAACGUAUAACUCUACUCUGAGGUCACUUCUAUGAGAACUAGAUGGCAUUCACUCCUUACAAAUUCAGAAGCCAGGUUAGAGAUGGAUCAAGGCAAAGCAGACAGUGCUUUCCUCUUAGUUGCGCUGUGGAUGAGGCUGCCAGUGGUUUCAAAGCAGAGUGAUUUCUAAAUCUACUGUGAAAAGUGCUAGAAGCCAUCAUAUCUAAGAGGCUUUUCAUUGCUGAUUGCAGCGUUCCCCUGUGCAUGGUUCACUGUGGCCUCUGGGACAUGGAAUUGCUGCCUGUGUGUGGAGCUGAGCUGCACACUCUUCUAUGGACUGUGCUCUUCAAUCCACGCAGGAGGUGGUGGGUGCUCUUCUAGCUUUUGACCACGAAAGCCAUCAGCCUGGAGAAAGAGUUUGUUUUUGUUGUUGAGCUGCCAAACGUGGUAGUCAAAAGGAGUCAAAGGAUGCUAAGGUUGGGAACAUCUCUAGCCAUCCAUCCAUCCACCACCCGUGUUUUUAAUUCAAUUACAUCUCAAGCAUCCCUUGUUUGCCAGUCUGAGGCCAUGCUCAGAGCUAGCAGGUGAAGGGGCUGCUCGGGUGGUUCAGAUAGUGCCAGGAAAGUCUGAGGGAAGCAGAGUUGAUUAAGUUCUCCCUGGAGCAAAAUGUCAAGAUAACAGCCAGCUGCGUUGUGCUUUACUUCUUUUUCACCACCGGGAGGAGCUGGCAGAAUGGGAUCCCCAGAUGCCCCAUGUGUCUGCUCUCCAGACUCAUUUAAACUGGGUGGAAACAGAGAUGUCUGGUCUGUGCUGGAGCCCUGUGUGACUUUGGGGGCUCAGGGCACAGAGCAGUUCUCUGCAUGUCCACGUCCUGCUGUGCUGCUCUCUCGGUACACAGAGGGCAGAUUUCCAACCCAAGGUCUUGUAUUUAAACAGCAUAUCAUGUAGGUCUGGGCACGGUAGAACAGUCAGAAACCAAUGUAUGCUGGGCAAUCUGUAAAUAUCAGAGGGGUGUAAAAUCCAUCCAAAAGCAAAAGUCAGCCUUUAGCCAAGAGGGAAAUGCACACACAGGACUCCCAGCUGUGUGGCCACUCCUGACAGCAUUCCUGCUUCAGCUCCCAGCCCCAUUGCUCACUGUGCAGUGUGACCAGACUGCUCUUCUGAGCAGCCAGGAGUGCUGGAAGAAAGGCUUCCACACCUUUCUGAGUGUCAUGGCUCAGCUGUCCCACAUCUCUCAGCUAAGAUGAGGGUAGAGAAGGAUCACUGAGGCCACCAAUUUAAAAAGCGUGAUAUGGAUGUGGUUGGCAGAGAGUGACAAUGCAGACUCUUCUCUGUCAAGAUGGUGACUAAGAGACAAUUGUGAUUGAGAUGUCUAUUACAGAAUUAGAUCAGUUCCGUCAUUCAUUCUAACUCUUUGUAAAUAAGCGGAGUUCAUUUCUGUGCAGCAUGGAUGAAAAACAUACACACUAUCUUUGGUUCAGAACGUGGAUGCAAACAUUGUAUGGACCUUCACUAGAAGUCUUUGGGGAGAACAGCUUUCCAGAAAGUGUUUGGGGAUGGAGCAGUCAGCAUUGUAUUUUGGAAGCAACAGAGGAAUGGGGCUGUCCUCUCCCUGAGCUAGAAUUUGCUUCUGAUAACAUAGCAUCCUUUCGUUACCUUCCUUAACCACAAGAGGCCAUGUUGUUUCCUAGUGUGGAGGCAGCACGUGUCCAUUACCGAAAUGAAAGAUAGCAUCGCACCAAGAUACCAGUAUCACUUCCUGGAGCCUUUGUCAACUUCUUGAGCAUUUGCUGUUGCCCUUGGCCACUUCAACAUUUAGAGCUACUCCCCCUGUAACAGCUAUAGUAACAAGAUUUAUUCAAGUUCUGUUAACUUGUGCUACAACUUUGAAUGUCUAAGGCAGUUUAUGAACCUCCACCUCUGCUUAGAUACCAAGGGAGCAGUAUCGUAGAAUCACAGAAUGGCCUGGGUUGCAAAGGAGCACAGUGCUCAUCAGUUCCAACCCCCUGCUGUGUGCAGGUCACCAACCAGCAGCCCAGGCUGCCCAGAGCCACAUCCAGCCUGGCCUUGAAUGCCUGCAGGGCUGGGGCAUCCACAGCCUCCUUGGGCAACCUGUGCCAGUGCAGUUUAGUUCAUUCGUGUUUUGUCUAGACCUUUGAGGCUAGGAUUUGUUUGUCUGUUUGUUUGUUAGUU
Molecule: long non-coding RNA, 6586 nt
Organism: Tympanuchus pallidicinctus (lesser prairie-chicken)
Lineage: Eukaryota; Metazoa; Chordata; Aves; Galliformes; Phasianidae
Exons: 5
Source: RefSeq, a predicted model, not a curated record